Molecule: long non-coding RNA, 9982 nt
Organism: Lycium barbarum (goji berry)
Lineage: Eukaryota; Viridiplantae; Streptophyta; Magnoliopsida; Solanales; Solanaceae
Exons: 2
Source: RefSeq, a predicted model, not a curated record
AUAUAUAUAUAUAAGCUGCCCAACCAUAUAGGUGCGGUGUGAUCAUUAUUAGGCCGCGUCUAGGCCUCCCGCGUCCGGGGUAACCAUCUCAUGCCGCCCACUAGUGGUGUCUGCCUAUGCCAUCUGGACAUGGUGUAUAGGCUGCCCGCCUUAGCAGUGUCUGCCUAGCCAUAUAGGCGCGGUGUAAUAUCAUCAUCAUAUAAUUAUCAUGAAUCAUUCAUAGAAACUCAGGACAAGCUGUAAAUCUAUCGGGGUGACGUAAGGUAGUGAACCCCCCGAUCCCAUUAUGGAAUAUUCAUAAGCAUUCUUCCUCACCUUGAAGCAACUAACAUGAUAAGGUGAGUGUAACAACAAUAAGCCAUAUCAAAGGGGUCAUAUGAGGAUCAUUAGCUUUAUAGCAAUAUCAUAUCAUGAACUUUAGGAUCUUUAAACUUAGGCUAAACAUUGUCAUUAUCAUACUCAUAACAUAUCUCUUAUUUCUAUCUCAUAUGGGGCUCUUCAUGAACAUAGACUCAUAAUUUCCAGAAUGUAAGAAAGUCAUGGAGGAUAGGGAAAGUUAUGUCAUAAGAUUCAUGCCUUAGAAAAGAAGGGACUAGCCUUGCAUACCUUUUCGUUUAGCUACUCUAUCGCUUGAACGUUCCCCUCUAAUAUUCACGUUUCUACCUUCAAGAGAGUUCGUACCAAUAUUAGAUAAUCGAUAACAUAAACACGCUUGAACUAAAGCUAGAGAAAAUUGGGCAGCAUCUCCUUUGUUUGUACAACCUUGUCCAUAUCAUGUAUCAACUCUCAAACAUCAAUAAUAACAUUUAUCAUAUCAUAAUCAACAAUCUUCUUUCACCCUACAUUAUUCAAGUCUCCCAAUUUCCAUUCCAAAUCAUCCAUAACGAUGGCGACAAUACAACAUUACAUUCAUCCUCAUAUAAUGUUUCUCUUAUGUUCUUAAUAUCAUUUGUAACAUAAUUAUAACCACAACAUAUCAAGAAUCAUGAUUCAAAUUAAGCUACUACUCAACAAUGUCACUAUUCUCAUGUUUGUAACCCAUUUUAUAUUUCCCUCCAUAAUUCAAGUCUUUCAACCCCUCAAUACCCUAAAUAGCAUGAAUUGAUCAUAAAAAUUACCUUUGAUUGAGUAGGAAUGGGUUUUGGAUAGCAAUACUCCACUUGAAGAAAACCCUAGCUUCAACCUCCCAAAGAUUCUUGGCUUCAAGCAACCCUAGAGGAUUCCCUUACACUUGAUUUCCUUGGUUUGAUGAAGUUGAUCUUUGAUUUGUCUUGAUUUUAUGUUGAUGAAAUGUGUAGAACCCUCUAGAAGUCUUGAGAGAGAUGGAGAAGUGGAAAGAAUGAUAAAAUGAAAGUGGGAACAAGUAUUUAUACUUGCAACUUAAUUAGCCCGUCGGGACUUAUACGGACCACUUAUACGGUCCGUAUAACAUUGUACGGUCCGUAUAAGUGUAUGUGGUUCACCAUCAUGGAAAACAUCCUUCAUGUUGGGUUAUACGAACCGUAUAAGUGGUCAUAUAACUCCACUUUUCCGAAAUUGUUUCUGUUGUUUCGUUUGAUCUUCAAUCCUUAUGAAACUUCUUAACACAUGUUUAACACUUCAUUAGAAAUCUAAGGAGCAUUAUAGCUUCUUCUUAGGACAUUUAUUAAAUCUCCAUUAGCUCGAUACUUUACUAAACUCUUCCUAACACAACGUAUACUUCACAUUUCUUGAUGAACUUUCUUCUCUUGCCUCGAAUGCCUUUGAAAUCUCAAUUAGAAUCAUUAAGUAACCUUUCUUACUUAUAGAAAUAUCGUAUUCAUCUCACCCCGCGUUAUUCUAUCUAUCAUACGACGUCAUGAAAUUUUCGGAGGUGUAACAAUCACUUUCUCAGACGACGAGUUGCCUGUGGAGGGUACUGGACAUAAUCGUAGCCUUCACAUUACUGUAAAAUGUGAGCGUUCUUACGUCACUCGAGUGUUGAUCGAUGGGAAAUCUAGGGCAAACAUUUGUCCUCUGUCAACUUUGCAAAAACUAAAUGGUAGCGCUGAAAGAAUCCGACCCAAUAAUGUAUGUGUUAGAGCCUUUGACGGAGCGAAAACGGAUGCCAUCGGCGAGAUAGAUCUAGUCCUGACAAUAAGGCCUGUCGACUUUACCAUAGAUUUUCAAGUGUUGAACAUCAAUACUUCUUACAAUAUGUUGUUGGAAGACCAUGGGUACAUAUGGCUGGAGCAGUCCCGUCCACGUUGCAUCAGAUGAUCAAGUUUGAACGUGACAAGCAAGAAGUGAUUGUUCACGGUGAAGGGGAUUUGUCCAUUUACAAAGACUCCAUUGUUCCCUUUAUUGAGGUUGUUAAUGCUGAUGAAGCACUGGUUUAUCAAGCCUCCGAAGUAGUGGUUGCUGAGCAAAUCUCGGAAGGGAAACCCAUUCUGACACCACAAGUGUCUUCAACAUCAGUUAUAGUGGUAAAUGAAAUGCUGAAGCCCUGUUUUGAACCAGGAAAAGGCUUGGGGCCCUCCUUACAAGAUAUGAUUUAUCCAGUGUGUCCACAUGAGAAUCCUGGUCCAUUUGGUUUAGGGUUCAGGCCAAUGGCUGAAGACAGAAAGAGGGCUAAAAAGCGGAAAAAAGAAGCAUGGUCACUUACCAAACCUGUGCCGCCGAUCUACCAAUCUUUUGUCAAAGAUAGUGCCAAUGGGUUUCCCUUGCCAGUGUUAGAUGUGGAUUCAUAACUGAUGGGAUGCUUCCAGAACUUGUUUGUCGAAGCUGAUAUGGUUGAAAUUUUAGAAGGUCCUAGUCAUGCAGAUGUGCAAUUCAUUGGCCCUGGUGUCCAACUCAGCAAUUGGGAAGUCACCCCUCUCCCCACCAGGAAGGAGUUUUGGUAGUCUGUUUUGUUUUCCUUUCUGUUAUUUAAGUUAUUAUGGGGUUGUAACUCAGAUUUUAUCUCGUUUGUUUUUGUUCAAACCCUUCUAUCUUUCCUUUCAAUGAAAUGCAAUUUCCCUUUUUGUUAAUUCUAAUGUGUUUGUUUAUUUUUCUUCUAUACAGUUCUGUUUAUGCCGGUUCUAAUGAUAUGAUAUGCAUGCGAAAUUUUCAGCCAGAUCUUAAAAUCCAAUCUAAUCAUGAAACAAUGAACUAAGAAAUUGAAUAUGAUGAAGAAAAGGUAUUUCAGGAAAUAAGCAGGGAUUUGAUCAAAUUUGAAGAUAAACAAACCCUAAUUUGAAUGAAACCGAAGCAGUCAAUCUGGGAGAUCAAGAUAAUGUCAGUACAACAACAUGGCAGAGUAUGAAGCUUGCAUUUUGGGUUUAAGGUUAGCUAUCAACAUGGGAAUUCAAGAAUUAUUGGUAUUGGGGGAUUUAUACUUGCUAGUCCACCAUGUUCAGGGAGAGUAGGAAACCCGUGAUUUGAAGCUUAUACCAUAUCGACAGUGUUUGCAAGAUCUUUGCAGACGGUUCAUAAUAGUGAAGUUUAAGCACAUGUCCAGGAUUCAUAAUGAGAUUGUUGAUGCCUUGGCCACUUUGUCUUCAAUGCUCCAACACCCAAACAAGGCUCACAUUGACCCUUUACACAUACAAACUCGCAAUCAACAUGCUUAUUGUAACACAGUUGAAGAGGAACUUGAUGGUGAGCCUUGGUUCCAUGAUAUUAAAUAAUACAUCGAGUCUGGAGGAUAUCCAGCACAUGCCACCUGUGAUCAGAAGAGAACUAUUCGACGACUGACAAGCGGAUUUUUCUUAAGUGGAGGAAUUUUGUAUAAAAAGACUCCAGAUUUGGGACUUUUGAGGUGUGUAGAUGCUAAAGAGGCUUCAACUAUCAUGACUGAAAUACAUUCAGGAGUUUGUGGACCGCACAUGAACGGGUAUGUUUUGGCAAAGAAAAUACUUCGAGCAGGCUAUUAUUGGCUUACCAUGGAGCGGGAUUCCAUUCGUUUUGUUUGUAGGUGUCAUCAAUGCCAGGUACAUGGUGACUUGAUACAUUCUCCUCCUUCAAAAUGGCACACAAUGUCUGCUCCACGGCCUUUUGCAACUUGGGGGAUGGAUGUGAUCGGGCCAAUUGAGCCGAAAGUGUCAAAUGGGCAUAGGAUCAUUUUGGUGGCCAUCGAUUAUUUUACAAAGUGGGUGGAAGUAGUUACUCUCAAGUCGGUGACUAAAAAAGCCAUGGUGUAUUUUGUUCAUUCCAAUAUCAUUUGCAGGUUCGGAAUCCCGAGGACAAUGAUUACAGAUAAUGCGACGAAUCUCAACAGUCAUUUGAUGCACGAGGUAUGUCAGCAGUUUAAGAUUACACAUCGAAAUUCAACUCCAUAUCAUCCGAAGGCAAAUAGGGUCGUAGAAGCUGCUAAUAAAAACAUCAAAAAGAUACUCCGCAAAAUGGUGCAAGGUUCUAGACAAUGGCAUGAAAAGUUGCCUUUUGCUUUAUUGGGUUAUCACACAACUGUUCGCACUUCAGUUGGUGCAACUCCUUAUUUGUUGGUAUAUGGGACCGAAGCGGUUAUACCUGCAGAAGUUGAAAUCCCGUCCCUUCGAAUCAUUGAGGAAGCUGGAAUUGAUGAUGAGUGGGUCAAAACCCAUUUGUAGCAAUUGAGUCUGAUUGACGAAAAGAUAUUAACAUCGGUAUGUCAUGGUCAACUGUAUCAAAGAAGGAUAGCACGAGCAUACAACAAAAAGGUGCAUCCCAAACAUUUUGAAGUGGGUAAAUUAGUGUUAAAGAGGAUUCUUCCACACCAAGCCGAGGCCAAAGGAAAGUUGAUCCCAAAUUGGCAGGCGCCAUUCGUAGCGAAGAAUCUUUUGCCCAAUGGUGCUUUGUAUCUGACAGACAUAGAAGGCAAAAUGUCUGAAAUGGCCAUCAACACAGAUGUAGUGAAAAGAUAUUAUUUAUGAUUUUCAUUUCCCCACCUUGGGAUUACUUGCUUAGCGCUUGAUAUUUUUAAAGGUUGAUAUGACGAAGGCAUUUUAUUCUGAUACCUAUACCUUGUGCCAUCCCUUGCUACCCUUUUGAGCCGUAGUCUAUUUUUCUUUCGUAACCCUCGUCUGGAAUCAAGUUUUUCAAAAAAAAAAAAAAAACAAACAAACAACAGCAAAAAAUAGGACAAUCGCCUGAACAACGUUUGACCUGAUUCUUAUCUAAGCAAGAUACGCAGGCAGCCCUAUUUUGGGUUCGAUCCAACCAAAGAAAAUCCAAAAUAAUAUCAAAGAAAUUGGGACAGAAGUUAUUGUUUUCUUUUUUAGUCGAUUCCAAAGGUUGUAAGUCUCAUCCCUUGUUAUUUUGGUAUUAUUUUUGUGUUGUCUUCGAGCCUCCAUGUCAUCCUUUCUUUCCAACCCUAUCCAAAAGACACAUUACAAUCAAAGAAAAGACCUUCAAAUCAAUCAUUGAGAAUUUCAAGGCUGAGCAGUCUAUCAGUAUUGGGCAUGUGCAUCAUUGACAUCACUUAUGGCAUCGGCACAGGAAAAUGGAAGAAAAAAUGAACAUGAGAGAGUCCUAUUGGUGAAAACCCUCACGGGCACCGUAGGGCGAUGGUGAGAUGAAAAAAUUGAAAAUGAGAGUCUUAUUGGUGAAAACUCUCACGGACACCGUAAGGUGAGGGCGAGUUGAGAGAAUUAAAAAUGAGAGAACUUUAUUGGUGAAAACCCUCACGAGCAUCGUAAGGCGAUGGUGAGAUGAAAAAUAAAAGUGAGAGAGUCUUACUGGUGAAAACCCUCACGGGCACUGUAAGGCGAUGGUGAUUUGAGAGAAUUGAGAAUGAGAGAGACUUGUUGGUAAGAACCCUUCGGGCGCCACUAGUUAAAUGAAGGCCUUGAUUUUGACGCAGUUGUUAGGUGGAGACAUUCAGUUUCUAUGUCAAAGGGUUAAUAAGAUUUUAUGAAUAGUUAGGAUGAACAAAUCAGACUGAUUAAGCCAAAAUGCAUGUCAUAAUCAUUAGAGCUGGCUACUACAUUCAGAUAAGUUUUCCCCUUUCUUUUCUUUUUCGGAGGGGACAUCCUUUUGUUAACCUCUUUUCAUCUUUAUCUUUUAUUUUUCUUUCAUCAUUUGGAUUUCAUGUUUUUCCUUUGAGUUAGUCUGUUGCGAGAUAAGGGAGAAAGGAUCACAAAACUUGCUACCAGUUUUUCAAUUGCGAAGCAAAACAUCUUGGCUAGCACAUGAAGGUAACAUAAUUCAGUUGGCAUAAGGUACUCAAUCAGCUGUCAACCGUUAAUGGGUUCUGGAUUCAUUGAAAUACAAUGUUCAAUAAAGUUUGAGUUAACGGGCAUUACAAAACAAGAGAUUUAUGGUAUGGUGUUGAAGUUACUUCUGAGACAUUUUUGGCAGCCAUGUUUGAGUCAGUAAUACCGUAGGUCAACAGGAUGCAAUAACUGUCUAAAAGCGGAGCCAAGCAGGAUGAGUGCAAAAGCAGUUGCUUUCACAGCCAAGACACAAACCAACCACAAAGUUUUGAAACUCACAAAAAUUUUCUUUGUUUGAAACAAGGGUAGAAAUUUUAUUCGCUAACUGCAGGUACAUUCUGGAAAAUUCAAGGCGCAAGUAUUGCAAGAAUCAAAAUUAGGACACUCCUAGAUAAUGAAAUUUUAUUUAUCAGGAUCCUUCUGAAAAAUGGGAUCGAGGUUAUCAGGAUCCUCUUGGAAAAUGGGAUUUAGCUAUCAGGACCCUCAUAGAAAAUGAGAUUUAGUUUAUUAGGACCCUCCUGGAAAAUGGGAUUUAGCUGUCAGGACCCUUCUGGAAAAUGGUAUUUAGUUUGUCAGGACCCUCCUGGAAAAUGAGAUUUAGUUGUCAGGACCCUCUUGGAAAAUGAGAUUUAGCUUGUCAGGACCCUUCUGGAAAAUGCGAUUUAGUUUGUCAGGACCCUCCUGGAAAAUGGGAUUUAGUUUGUCAGGACCCUCCUGGAAAAUGAGAUGUAGUUUAUCAGGAUCCUCCUGGAAAAUGGGAUUUAGUUAUCAGCACCCUCCUGGAUAAUGGGAUUUAGUUUAUCAGGACCCUCCUGGAAAAUGGGAUUUAGAUAGCAGGACCCUCCUGGAAGAUGGGAUUUAGUUAUCAGGAGCCUCCUAGAAAAUGGGAUUUUAUUUAGCAGGACCCUCCGGAAAAAUGAGAUUUAGUUUCUCAGGACCCUCCUGAAAAAUGGAAUUUAGUUUCUUAGGACCCUCAUGCAAAAUGGGAUUUUAUUUAUCAGGACCCUCCUAGAAAAUGGGAUUUAGUUUAUCAGGACCCUUCUGGAAAUGGGAUUUAGUUAUCAAGACCCUCUUGGAUAAUGAGAUUUAGUUUAUCAGGACCUUCCUGGAAAAUGGGAAUUAGUUAUCAGGACACUCCUGGAAAAUGGGAUUUAGCUUGUCAGGAUCCUCCUGGAAAUGGAAUUUACGUUAUCAAGACCCUCCUAGAAAAUGGGAUUUACUUUAUCAGGAACUUUCUGGAAAACGGGAUUUAGUUAUUAGGACCCACCUGGAAAAUGGGAUUUAGUUUAUCUGGACCCACCUGGAAAAUGUGAUUUAGUUUUUCAGGACCCUCCUGGAAAAUGGGAUUUAGUUUAUCAGGACCCACUCGGAAAAUGAGAUUUAGUUAUCAGGACCCUCUUGGAAAAUGGGAUUUAGUUAUCAGGACCCUCUUGGAAAAUGAGAUUUAGUUAUCAGGACCAUCCUUGAAAAUGGGAUUUCGUUAUCAGGACCCUCCUGGAAAAUGUGCUUUACUUUAUCAGGACCCUCUUGGAUAAUGGGAUUUAGUUUAUCAGGACCCUCCUGGAAAAUGAGAUUUAGUUUAUUAGGACCCACCUGGAAAAUGAGAUUUAGUUAUCAGGACCGUCCUGGAAAAUGGGAUUUAGUUAUUAGGACCCUCUGGGAAAAUGGGAUUUGGUUAUCAGGAUCAUCCUGGAAAAUGGGAUUUCGUUAUCAGGACCCUCCUAGAUAAAGGGAUUUACUUUAUCAGGACCCUCUUGGAUAAUGGGAUUUAGUUUAAUCAGGAGACGCACUUCCUAAUUGUAGCAUUUGAUUUUACUUUCAUAAUGAAAUUAUUUUAUAGUUUAUAAUUUUGCUAACACUCACCAAAAAAUUUCUGGUGCAAACUGGGAUAGAAAAUUUUUGUUCGUGUUAUUUGUUUUGAUAAUUUAUAAGGUUCGCCUGGAGAAUAGGGAUAAUUUUCAAUUUCAAGCUCAGGAGCCCGCCUGAAGCAUAGGGUGUACUUUCAGUUGGUUUCGAGUUCAGUCAGAAGUAGCAGGAGCCCCGCCUGGAGAAUAGGGAUGACUUUAAGUUUUAAGUUCAGAAACAAGCAUGAAGAUUCAAGUCAAGAUUCAAGAGAAGCUGCAUAGAUAGGGUCUUGUACUUGUUUUUUCUUUUUAACUUUUAUUUUUCAUUUUGAUGAAAUAACAGGAGCCGCGGACCGGAACCUCGACAGGACCUCAAUCGACUCCCCAACUCGGUAUGUUUCAUCACCCUUCUUACCUCUUGAACUACACGAGACCAGAUUCCCUUAUAACCCGGGAUAUGUAGGAUGCCCAACACCAGGGUUCGGUCACAUUUUUGUUCCAUUCCUUUCUCUUCCUCCAAAAAAUGGUCGGGUUCAAAUUUGUCUCAUUGUCUACGUCUCUGUCCGAGAACUCUUCGCGUCCACAACCAAAGAGGGACAGGCUGUAGACACGUAAUAUUUACCCUCCCCGAGUGUUUCACAUUAUAGUUUUUAAAUAUUUCUUUUAAUUUUAAUUUUUGAUGUGUGGAUUUUAUUCUAUUUUUAUUUAGUAGGUUUACUUUGCGAGAAUCGAAAAAAAAAUAUUUAGUAUUUUUAGAGUAUAAGUCGGGUGUUUCAAAAGAAUUAAAAAAUUUACAAAAAUAUGUUUCUAAGGAUUUAUUUUCAUUAGCAAAUUACUUUCUUGUAAAUAGUAUAUUUUUCUGUCUAGGAAUAGUUAUUAAAUACUUCUUAUUUUUUGUAUUUAAGUAAAAGGUAAAUGAAAAAAUAUAUGGCAAAAAGGGAGAAUUUUUUUCAAGGAAGGGAAUCUUUUCCGUUGGACAUAUACACAUCACACAAAAGGACAAGAAAGAAAAACAUAUUUUUUUUUAAAAAAAAAAGGGAGAGGAGACACGUGACAAAAUUGGAGGGGUAUUAGUUUUGGGGUGAUCCCCAUAAUAAUUUUUGAUAGAAAAAGGCACACAUACUGAACAUAGAAAAGGGAGGAAUCAUUUAGAGAAAUAUAGAGAUAGAGACAGAGACGGACCCACAGCAAAAAAUAUCCUCAUCAUCAUCUUCUUAAAUUUUUUUAUUCACCUUAAGCACAUACUCCAUUUUGAAGGCUCUGUUUUCGUUUCCUCCACACUAGACACAUACUCAUCUCCAUCAUUUUCCAUUUUUACAUUUUAACACCCAAAUCACAAAACCACUGUGAACCACCCAGAAACCGAGCAACCCAGUUCCACCGUGGAACACCCACCUGCUCCAUCACCAUUUACACCAUUGUCAACAUUUCCCAACAACACCUCUCAAAAACCCAAAAUAAACCAUCAAUGAAAUCCCCAAAAACAGUUAUGAAAGCCCAUAAAUUCAACCCUUCGUCUCUAUUUUUAACUUGAUUUCCAGUUAGAUUUGGGUGUUUGUUCGCUGAGAUUGUAGUUUUCCGUCGAGGUUUUCAUGUCGUGGCUCUCGAUUUUUGGGGCUCUUAGUUGAUUUUUCCAUUCACUGGUUCUGUAUCGACGAUUUCAUUCGUGGAUCAGACCUUUGCUUGAAGGUUUCGUAUUGAUCGAAUUUCUUGGAGGAAUAUUACACUAAAGGUAGACAGGGAGACGGAUCAGACCUGUAGGCUGCCUUCUCAGUGACUGUACAAGGCACUCCACUUGUUCUAGAGUUGCAGAUCAGCGUGGUAUGAUUCUUUUGUGUAUAUAUGGGCAUGGCGAGGUCCUGUCCCGUCCUUAUUACGUUAUGCAUUUCAUAAAGAGGCUCAUAGACAGAUAUGCACAUUAAGAUGUUCUAUGACCUUCUCGGUCCAUAUUUUGUUGCAUCACUUUGACAGCCUUGUCGGCUUGUGUAUACGGGCACAGUUUGAUGA